UCAAGUUCCUUGGUUCGGACUUUUCUUGGCUUCCUGUUUGUGGCUUAACAACAUAGACAACUUAUUUCUCCUCCUCAAACACUUAAUAUGACUUCGUAGAACAGAAACAGAAUGAUGACAGUGAUGGUAGCUCUGGGGAAACUGAGGAUGAGAGCACAGAAGGUGCCCUGGAUUGCUGUGGUCUUCUCUGCCUCGGUGUGGCUGUUCUUCUGGACUGGACUGUGCACGGGCAUCCUCUGCUUUCAAGGAUUAUCUGUUUUUAUGAUGCAUUAGGAUGAUCCCUCACGUAACAUGAUAAGUGAUGUUCUCCUUCACCACAUUAAACAGUGAAGCUUGGAGACUCUUAUGGAAGAAUAGAAAGAAGAAUUGCAGCCCAUAAGGGGAUAAGAAUGCCAUAGGAAGACCAACGGAACCAACUAACCUGGACCUUUGCCACUCUCAGAGACUGAACCACAAACCAAAGAACUUUCAUGGGCUUGACCUAGGCAUCCCUGAACAUAUAUAGCAGAUGUGCAGCUUGAUUGUCAUGUGGGUCUAUCCCAUGUGAGCAGGAGCUAUCCCAAAAGCUGGUGUGCAAGGAUGUUGGGGAAGUCAUGAGAAAGAAGGGAAUCUUUGAAGCAGUGAUCCAGAAUACCUUUUAACUCUUGAAUUAUUAUUUUUUAAAGUAAUUUUCCCCACCAGGGAAAAAGGUUAAUAAACAUAUUUUCCGAUUCCCAUAUAAACUAUAUUCCUAUU
Long non-coding RNA from Apodemus sylvaticus (European woodmouse), 735 nucleotides. RefSeq lists it as uncharacterized. The transcript has 3 exons. The record is from RefSeq and is a predicted model, not a curated record. NCBI's taxonomy places the organism in Eukaryota, Metazoa, Chordata, Mammalia, Rodentia, Muridae.